RNAcentral lists this unclassified non-coding RNA (334 nucleotides) under soil metagenome. Its description in RNAcentral is "partial contains 5.8S ribosomal RNA, internal transcribed spacer 2, and large subunit ribosomal RNA". The stretch from base 1 to 120 matches the Rfam family "5.8S ribosomal RNA", at positions 35 to 154 of the family's 154-position model. The record is from RNAcentral.
GAUGAAGAACGUAGCGAAAUGCGAUAAGUAAUGUGAAUUGCAGAAUUCAGUGAAUCAUCGAAUCUUUGAACGCACAUUGCGCCCGCCAGUAUUCUGGCGGGCAUGCCUGUUCGAGCGUCAUUUCAACCAUCAAGCCCUGCUUGCGUUGGGGUCCUGCGGCUGCCCGCAGGCCCUGAAAACCAGUGGCGGGCUCGCUAGUCACACCGAGCGCAGUAAUACAUCUCGCUUUGGGCGUGCGACGGGUUCUUGCCGUUAAACACCCCCUUUUUACCAAGGUUGACCUCGGAUCAGGUAGGAAUACCCGCUGAACUUAAGCAUAUCAAUAAGCGGAGGA